AAAUACCACAAUCAUUCUAAUUAUUUUUUGUCAUUGUUAUAAUUACUGUAUUAAUUACUAUUACUAGUACAAUGCUAGACUAAAAAUCUAACCACCACACAAGGUUUUCUUCCCAUGAUAACUCUAAAAGGAAAGAUCAGAAUUGAGAAGAAUAGGAGCAGUUCAUUCGCUCAAUCAGACUCGACACAGCUGAGAUCCACUUGAGGUUAAUUCACAGGGGCAGGUGACCUCCGUUUGCUUGUUGCUUUUAUUCCCAGGGCGAACCAUUUCAACCAGGGUUCCCUGAGCAAAUGGAAUGCUGCCUCACGGCACAAUAUCUAACAGCAGAAAAAGCGAUGGGCGAAGAGGUCUGUCGGCAGUCGGUUGUUGGAGGGUGUUGUUUCAAACUAAUUUGCGGAUACCAGGAAUGCAGUGGAAACAAAGUUAUUACAAGAGUGGCAAGAAUUGCAUAAUGAAUCGCAGAGGAAGAAACCCUGCAAAAGAGAGAAGAGUGGCCAAAACCUGAAACCCGUGACCUGAGCUUCAACUUUUUAGUAAGUAACUUUUGUAGUUAGGAACUGCUAUGUAUGGAUAAGUGAGCUCUAGCUUAUUUUCAUAAUAUUAUUUAUUAAAUACCUACUAUGUGUUAGAU
This is a long non-coding RNA of Ornithorhynchus anatinus (platypus), 631 nucleotides long. RefSeq lists it as uncharacterized. NCBI's taxonomy places the organism in Eukaryota, Metazoa, Chordata, Mammalia, Monotremata, Ornithorhynchidae. The record is from RefSeq and is a predicted model, not a curated record. The transcript has 3 exons.